This 339-nucleotide ribosomal RNA is filed under the name uncultured soil bacterium. RNAcentral describes it as "bacterial SSU rRNA". It matches the Rfam family "Bacterial small subunit ribosomal RNA", at positions 193 to 519 of the family's 1533-position model. The record is from RNAcentral.
CCUGUUCACUAAAGGUAGCUUCGGCUUCCGCAUUGGGAGGGGCCCGCGGCCCAUUAGCUUGUUGGUGGGGUCAAGGCCUACCAAGGCAACGAUGGGUAGCUGGUCUGAGAGGACGAUCAGCCACACUGGGACUGAGACACGGCCCAGACUCCUACGGGAGGCAGCAGUGGGGAAUCUUGCGCAAUGCGCGAAAGCGUGACGCAGCAACACCGCGUGAGGGAAGACGGCCUUAGGGUUGUAAACCUCUUUCAGAUGGGACGAAGGUGAUGCGGUGAAUAGCCGAUGUCAUUGACGGUACCGUCAGAAGAAGCUCCGGCUAACUACGUGCCAGCAGCCGCG